This 381-nucleotide ribosomal RNA is filed under the name Desmodesmus sp. RNAcentral's name for it is "SSU rRNA". It matches the Rfam family "Eukaryotic small subunit ribosomal RNA", at positions 641 to 1029 of the family's 1831-position model. Lineage: Eukaryota; Viridiplantae; Chlorophyta; Chlorophyceae; Sphaeropleales; Scenedesmaceae. The record is from RNAcentral.
UCGGGUGGGUCUCAGCGGUCCGCCUAUGGUGAGUACUGCUGUGGCCUUCCUUACUGUCGGGGACCUGCUUCUGGGCUUCAUUGUCCGGGACAGGGAUUCGGCAUGGUUACUUUGAGUAAAUUAGAGUGUUCAAAGCAGGCUUACGCCGUGAAUACUUUAGCAUGGAAUAACAUGAUAGGACUCUGCCCUAUUCUGUUGGCCUGUAGGAGUGGAGUAAUGAUUAAGAGGAACAGUCGGGGGCAUUCGUAUUUCAUUGUCAGAGGUGAAAUUCUUGGAUUUAUGAAAGACGAACUACUGCGAAAGCAUUUGCCAAGGAUGUUUUCAUUAAUCAAGAACGAAAGUUGGGGGCUCGAAGACGAUUAGAUANNNNCGUAGUCANNA